UCAUGGGAGUGGAUGGUACCAGAAGCGGGUAGUUUAACCAUGGAGAAAUCCAAGGGUGACGUCUGCCACGGUAUGAUUCAUGACUGGGACG
This 91-nucleotide ribosomal RNA is filed under the name uncultured bacterium. RNAcentral's name for it is "partial 16S ribosomal RNA". The record is from RNAcentral.